This 71-nucleotide transfer RNA is filed under the name Loxodonta africana (African savanna elephant). It matches the Rfam family "tRNA". From Rfam's summary of the family: Transfer RNA (tRNA) molecules are approximately 80 nucleotides in length. The record is from Rfam by way of RNAcentral. Lineage: Eukaryota; Metazoa; Chordata; Mammalia; Proboscidea; Elephantidae.
GUCCUGGUGGUUCAGUGGUAGAAUUCUCACUUUCCACGCGGGAGACCUGGGUUCACUUCCCAGCCCAUGCA